UUGAACGCUGGCGGCAGGCCUAACACAUGCAAGUCGAGCGGAUGAAGGGAGCUUGCUCCUGGAUUCAGCGGCGGACGGGUGAGUAAUGCCUAGGAAUCUGCCUGGUAGUGGGGGAUAACGUCCGGAAACGGGCGCUAAUACCGCAUACGUCCUGAGGGAGAAAGUGGGGGAUCUUCGGACCUCACGCUAUCAGAUGAGCCUAGGUCGGAUUAGCUAGUUGGUGGGGUAAAGGCCUACCAAGGCGACGAUCCGUAACUGGUCUGAGAGGAUGAUCAGUCACACUGGAACUGAGACACGGUCCAGACUCCUACGGGAGGCAGCAGUGGGGAAUAUUGGACAAUGGGCGAAAGCCUGAUCCAGCCAUGCCGCGUGUGCGAAGAAGGUCUUCGGAUUGUAAAGCACUUUAAGUUGGGAGGAAGGGCAGUAAGUUAAUACCUUGCUGUUUUGACGUUACCAACAGAAUAAGCACCGGCUAACUUCGUG
Molecule: ribosomal RNA, 483 nt
Filed under: uncultured bacterium
Lineage: Bacteria
Description: partial 16S ribosomal RNA
Rfam family: Bacterial small subunit ribosomal RNA
Source: RNAcentral